GGGGUGAAAGGCCAAUCAAACCGGGAGAUAGCUGGUUCUCCCCGAAAGCUAUUUAGGUAGCGCCUCGUGAAUUCAUCUCCGGGGGUAGAGCACUGUUUCGGCAAGGGGGUCAUCCCGACUUACCAACCCGAUGCAAACUGCGAAUACCGGAGAAUGUUAUCACGGGAGACACACGGCGGGUGCUAACGUCCGUCGUGAAGAGGGAAACAACCCAGACCGCCAGCUAAGGUCCCAAAGUCAUGGUUAAGUGGGAAACGAUGUGGGAAGGCCCAGACAGCCAGGAUGUUGGCUUAGAAGCAGCCAUCAUUUAAAGAAAGCGUAAUAGCUCACUGGUCGAGUCGGCCUGCGCGGAAGAUGUAACGGGGCUAAACCAUGCACCGAAGCUGCGGCAGCGACGCUGAUGCGUUGUUGGGUAGGGGAGCGUUCUGUAAGCCUGCGAAGGUGUGCUGUGAGGCAUGCUGGAGGUAUCAGAAGUGCGAAUGCUGACAUAAGUAACGAUAAAGCGGGUGAAAAGCCCGCUCGCCGGAAGACCAAGGGUUCCUGUCCAACGUUAAUCGGGGCAGGGUGAGUCGACCCCUAAGGCGAGGCCGAAAGGCGUAGUCGAUGGGAAAC
Molecule: ribosomal RNA, 612 nt
Filed under: Escherichia coli
Lineage: Bacteria; Pseudomonadati; Pseudomonadota; Gammaproteobacteria; Enterobacterales; Enterobacteriaceae
Description: partial 23S ribosomal RNA
Rfam family: Bacterial large subunit ribosomal RNA
Source: RNAcentral